Molecule: ribosomal RNA, 468 nt
Filed under: uncultured bacterium
Lineage: Bacteria
Description: partial 16S ribosomal RNA
Rfam family: Bacterial small subunit ribosomal RNA
Source: RNAcentral
GACGAACGCUGGCGGCGUGCUUAACACAUGCAAGUCGAACGGAAAGGCCCUGCUUUUGUGGGGUGCUCGAGUGGCGAACGGGUGAGUAACACGUGAGUAACCUGCCCUUGACUUUGGGAUAACUUCAGGAAACUGGGGCUAAUACCGGAUAGGAGCUCCUGCUGCAUGGUGGGGGUUGGAAAGUUUCGGCGGUUGGGGAUGGACUCGCGGCUUAUCAGCUUGUUGGUGGGGUAGUGGCUUACCAAGGCUUUGACGGGUAGCCGGCAUGGGAGGGUGACCGGCCACAUUGGGACUGAGAUACGGCCCAGAGUCCAACGGGAGGCAGCAGUGGGGAAUAUUGCACAGUGGGCGGAAGCCUGAUGCAGCAACGCUGCGUGCGGGAUGACGGCCUUCGGGUUGUAAACCGCUUUCGCCUGUGACGAAGCGUGAGUGACGGUAAUGGGUAAAGAAGCACCGGCUAACUACGUG